This is a long non-coding RNA of Esox lucius (northern pike), 615 nucleotides long. NCBI's taxonomy places the organism in Eukaryota, Metazoa, Chordata, Actinopteri, Esociformes, Esocidae. The record is from Ensembl.
UGGAUGAACAUUGUAUUACUGGCCAUGGAUGAACACAGUGGUACAGGCCGUGGAUGAACAGUGUUACAGGCAGUGGAUAAACAAGGUGUUUCAGGCCGUGGAUGAACACAGUGUUACAGGCAGUAGUUGAACACAUUGUUACAGGCCGUGGAUGAACACAGUGUUACAGGCAGUGGAUGAACACAGUGUUACAGGCAGUGGAUGAACACUGUUAAAGGCUGUGGAUGAACACAGUAUAACAGGCAGUGGAUGAACACAGUGUUACAGGCCAUGGAUGAACACAGUGGUACAGGCCGUGGAUGAACAGUGUUACAGGCAGUGGAUGAACAAGGUGUUUCAGGCUGUGGAUGAACACGGUGUUACAGGCAGGAGAUGAACACAGUGUUACAGGCCGUGGAUGAACACAGUGUUACAGGCAGUGGAUGAACACAGUGUUUCAGGCAGUGGAUGAACACAGUGUUUCAGGCAGUGGAUUAACACAGUAUUACAGGCAGUGGAUGACCACAAUGUUACGGGCAGUGGAUGAACACAGUGUUUCAGGCAGUGGAUUAACACAGUAUUACAGGCAGUGGAUGACCACAAUGUUACGAGCAGUGGAUGAACACAGUGUUUCAG